Molecule: transfer RNA, 72 nt
Filed under: Balaenoptera acutorostrata scammoni
Lineage: Eukaryota; Metazoa; Chordata; Mammalia; Artiodactyla; Balaenopteridae
Description: tRNA-Ala (AGC) (tRNA-Ala-AGC-18-1)
Rfam family: tRNA
About the family: Transfer RNA (tRNA) molecules are approximately 80 nucleotides in length. Their secondary structure includes four short double-helical elements and three loops (D, anti-codon, and T loops).
Source: RNAcentral
GGAGGUGUAGCUCAGUGGUAGAAUGCGUGCUUAGCAUGCACAAGGCCCUGGUUUCAACUCCCAGCACCUCCA